RNAcentral lists this ribosomal RNA (354 nucleotides) under uncultured bacterium. RNAcentral's name for it is "bacterial SSU rRNA". It matches the Rfam family "Bacterial small subunit ribosomal RNA", at positions 527 to 881 of the family's 1533-position model. The record is from RNAcentral.
GNAGGNGGCAAGCGUCGUCCGGAAUNACUGGGUGUAAAGGGAGCGCAGGCGGAACUGCAAGNNGGGUGUCAAAUCUACGGGCUUAACCCGUAUCCGCACUCAAAACUGUGGUNCUUGAGUAGUGCAGAGGUAGGCGGAAUUCCCGGUGUAGCGGUGGAAUGCGUAGAUAUCGGGAGGAACACCAGUGGCGAAGGCGGCCUACUGGGCACCAACUGACGCUGAGGCUCGAAAGUAUGGGUAGCAAACAGGAUUAGAUACCCUGGUAGUCCAUACCGUAAACGAUGAUUACUAGGUGUGGGGAGAUUGACCCUCUCCGUGCCGCAGUUAACACAAUAAGUAAUCCACCUGGGGAGU